GCAUAUCAAUAAGCGGAGGAAAAGAAACUAACAAGGAUUCCCCUAGUAACUGCGAGUGAAGCGGGAAAAGCUCAAAUUUAAAAUCUGACGGUCUUUAUGGCCUUCCGAGUUGUAAUCUAGAGAAGUGCUAUCCGCGCUGGACCGUGUACAAGUCUCCUG
RNAcentral lists this ribosomal RNA (159 nucleotides) under Tricholoma magnivelare. RNAcentral describes it as "partial 28S rRNA". It matches the Rfam family "Eukaryotic large subunit ribosomal RNA", at positions 38 to 192 of the family's 3401-position model. The record is from RNAcentral. Lineage: Eukaryota; Fungi; Basidiomycota; Agaricomycetes; Agaricales; Tricholomataceae.